GACGAACGCUGGCGGCGUGCUUAACACAUGCAAGUCGAACGGAAAGGCCCUGCUUUUGUGGGGUGCUCGAGUGGCGAACGGGUGAGUAACACGUGAGUAACCUGCCCUUGACUUUGGGAUAACUUCAGGAAACUGGGGCUAAUACCGGAUAGGAGCUCCUGCUGCAUGGUGGGGGUUGGAAAGUUUCGGCGGUUGGGGAUGGACUCGCGGCUUAUCAGCUUGUUGGUGGGGUAGUGGCUUACCAAGGCUUUGACGGGUAGCCGGCCUGAGAGGGUGACCGGGCACAUUGGGACUGAGAGACGGCCCAGACGGCUACGGGAGGCAGCAGGGGGGAAUAUUGCACAAUGGGCGGAAGCCUGAUGCAGCGACGCCGCGUGCGGGAUGACGGCCUUCGGGGGGUAAACCGCUUUCGCCUGUGACGAAGCGUGAGUGACGGUAAUGGGUAAAGAAGCACCGGCUAACUACGUG
RNAcentral lists this ribosomal RNA (468 nucleotides) under uncultured bacterium. Its description in RNAcentral is "partial 16S ribosomal RNA". It matches the Rfam family "Bacterial small subunit ribosomal RNA", at positions 28 to 507 of the family's 1533-position model. The record is from RNAcentral.